RNAcentral lists this ribosomal RNA (254 nucleotides) under uncultured bacterium. Its description in RNAcentral is "partial 16S ribosomal RNA". It matches the Rfam family "Bacterial small subunit ribosomal RNA", at positions 524 to 776 of the family's 1533-position model. The record is from RNAcentral.
GACGUAGGGCGCAAGCGUUGUCCGGAUUUAUUGGGCGUAAAGCGCGCGCAGGCGGCCUUUUAAGUCUGCUGGUGAAAUGCCGGGGCUCAACCCCGUGCCCGCCACAGAUACUGGGAGGCUGGAGACGAGUAGAGGCAAGCGGAAUUCCGGGUGUAGCGGUGGAAUGCGUAGAGAUCCGGAAGAACACCGGAGGCGAAGGCGGCUUGCUGGGCUUGGUCUGACGCUGAGGCGCGAAAGCGUGGGGAGCGAACAGG